UAAGCCAUGCAUGUCUAGCGCACAAGCCCUUGAAUGGUAAAGCCGCGAAUGCGCUCAUUACAACAGCCAUAGUUUAUUAGAUCUUUACAUCCUACUUGGAUAACUGUGGUAAUUCUAGAGCUAAUACACGCAACAAAGCUCGGACUUUCUGAACGAGCGCAUUUAUUAGAACAAAACCAAUCGGAUUUCGGUCCGUCUUUUGGUGAAUCUGAAUAACUCUGCUGAUCGCACGGUCUCGUACCGGCGACGCAUCUUUCAAAUGUCUGCCUUAUCAACUUUCGAUGGUAGUUUAUACGCCUACCAUGGUUGUAACGGGUAACGGAGAAUAAGGGUUCGACUCCGGAGAGGGAGCCUGAGAAACGGCUACCACAUCCAAGGAAGGCAGCAGGCACGCAAAUUACCCACUCCCGGCACGGGGAGGUAGUGACGAAAAAUAACGAGGCGGUUCUCUUUGAGGCCCGCCAUCGGAAUGGGUACAAUUUAAAUCCUUUAACGAGGAUCUAUUGGAGGGCAAGUCUGGUGCCAGCAGCCGCGGUAAUUCCAGCUCCAAUAGCGUAUAUUAAAGUUGUUGCGGUUAAAAAGCUCGUAGUUGGAUCUGCGGUCGAGGAGAGCGGUCCUCCGAUGGAUGGUUACUGCUUUUCCUGACCUAAUCUCUUCGGUUUUCCCUUGAUGCUCUUCAUUGAGUGUCUUGGGUGGCCGGAACGUUUACUUUGAAAAAAUUAGAGUGCUCAAAGCAGGCGAAUCAGCCUGAAUAGUGGUGCAUGGAAUAAUAAAAGAGGAUCUCGGUUCUAUUUUGUUGGUAUUGGAUUGAGAUAAUGAUCGACGGGGACAGACGGGGGCAUUCGUAUUGCGACGUUAGAGGUGAA
RNAcentral lists this ribosomal RNA (866 nucleotides) under Tripylella intermedia. Its description in RNAcentral is "SSU rRNA". It matches the Rfam family "Eukaryotic small subunit ribosomal RNA", at positions 45 to 915 of the family's 1831-position model. The record is from RNAcentral. Lineage: Eukaryota; Metazoa; Nematoda; Enoplea; Triplonchida; Tripylidae.